Molecule: ribosomal RNA, 301 nt
Filed under: uncultured bacterium
Lineage: Bacteria
Description: partial 16S ribosomal RNA
Rfam family: Bacterial small subunit ribosomal RNA
Source: RNAcentral
CAGCCGCCACGGUAAUGCGAAGGGUGCAAGCGUUAAUCGGAAUUACUGGGCGUAAAGCGUGCGUAGGCGGUUUGUUAAGUCUGUUGUGAAAUCCCCGGGCUCAACCUGGGAAUGGCAAUGGAUACUGGCAAGCUAGAGUGUGUCAGAGGAUGGUGGAAUUCCCGGUGUAGCGGUGAAAUGCGUAGAGAUCGGGAGGAACAUCAGUGGCGAAGGCGGCCAUCUGGGACAACACUGACGCUGAGGCACGAAAGCGUGGGGAGCAAACAGGAUUAGAUACCCCUGUAGUCCCUGUCUCUUAUAC